GAGUUUGAUCAUGGCUCAGAACGAACGCUGGCGGCAUGCCUAACACAUGCAAGUCGAACGAACUCUUCGGAGUUAGUGGCGCACGGGUGCGUAACGCGUGGGAAUCUGCCCUUGGGUACGGAAUAACUCAGAGAAAUUUGUGCUAAUACCGUAUAAUGACUUCGGUCCAAAGAUUUAUCGCCCAAGGAUGAGCCCGCGUAAGAUUAGCUAGUUGGUGGGUAAAGGCCUACCAAGGCUACGAUCUUUAGCUGGUCUGAGAGGAUGAUCAGCCACACUGGGACUGAGACACGGCCCAGACUCCUACGGGAGGCAGCAGUGGGGAAUAUUGGACAAUGGGCGAAAGCCUGAUCCAGCAAUGCCGCGUGAGUGAUGAAGGCCUUAGGGUUGUAAAGCUCUUUUACCCGGGAUGAUAAUGACAGUACCGGGAGAAUAAGCUCCGGCUAACUCCGUGCCAGCAGCCGCCGU
This 465-nucleotide ribosomal RNA is filed under the name uncultured microorganism. RNAcentral's name for it is "bacterial SSU rRNA". It matches the Rfam family "Bacterial small subunit ribosomal RNA", at positions 9 to 521 of the family's 1533-position model. The record is from RNAcentral.